GUAAAGGGCGGAGCUUAUAACAAUGAUUGACAGGGAGCUAAGAUGGAGGUGGCUCUCUCUAUACUGACUGCCAGGUGUAAAGGGCGGAGCUUAUAACAAUGAUUGACAGGGAGCUAAGAUGGAGGUGGCUCUCUCUAUACUGACUGUCAGGUGUAAAGGGCGGAGCUUAUAACAAUGAUUGACAGGGAGCUAAGAUGGAGGCGGCUCUCUCUAUACUGACUGCCAGGUGUAAAG
Molecule: non-coding RNA, 234 nt
Organism: Pelobates cultripes (western spadefoot toad)
Lineage: Eukaryota; Metazoa; Chordata; Amphibia; Anura; Pelobatidae
Source: the annotation of a GenBank genome assembly